Molecule: unclassified non-coding RNA, 645 nt
Filed under: uncultured Prochlorococcus sp.
Lineage: Bacteria; Bacillati; Cyanobacteriota; Cyanophyceae; Synechococcales; Prochlorococcaceae
Description: partial 16S-23S ribosomal RNA intergenic spacer; may also contain 16S ribosomal RNA and 23S ribosomal RNA
Rfam family: tRNA (bases 304-376)
Source: RNAcentral
UUGUGGAGGAGGACGCCGAAGGUGGGGCUAAUGACUGGGGUGAAGUCGUAACAAGGUAGCCGUACCGGAAGGUGCGGCUGGAUCACCUCCUAACAGGGAGACAACAAAAUGUUAAAUAUUAAUUUUGUCACCUUAGGUCGAUCGGUAUCUCACAUUCUUAAUUGAUUUAAGAAUUUUAUUUCCUAAGUUUUUCUAGGUCACACCCAUCAUUUUUCCUGGGCCAUUAGCUCAGGUGGUUAGAGCGCACCCCUGAUAAGGGUGAGGUCCCUGGUUCAAGUCCAGGAUGGCCCAUAUCUCUAUGUUGGGGGUAUAGCUCAGUUGGUAGAGCGCCUGCUUUGCAAGCAGGAUGUCAGCGGUUCGAGUCCGCUUACCUCCACUGAUUACCACCUCUUCCAUGGUUUAUAGAAGGGAAAUUUUGAGUUGUGAUCAAAUUCUGAACGAAUCUAGCUUCCUAAUUAAACUUAUUAAGAUGCUGGACUCAUUGAAUUAUUUUCAUUGUUUUCAGAGAACCUUGACAACUGCAUAGAUUAUUUUAAAGACAAUAAGCAUUUUUAAUGAUGCAGAUUUAUUAUUAGUGCGAAUGCAUUAAAUAACAAUUCUAUUAAGCUGAUGCUUCAAUUUUUGAAGUUAUUGGUCAAGCUACAA